Molecule: ribosomal RNA, 492 nt
Filed under: uncultured bacterium
Lineage: Bacteria
Description: partial 16S ribosomal RNA
Rfam family: Bacterial small subunit ribosomal RNA
Source: RNAcentral
AGUGAACGCUGGCGGUAGGCCUAACACAUGCAAGUCGAACGGCAGCACAGUAAGAGUUUGCUCUUACGGGUGGCGAGUGGCGGACGGGUGAGGAAUACAUCGGAAUCUACUUUUUCGUGGGGGAUAACGUAGGGAAACUUACGCUAAUACCGCAUACGAUCUACGGGUGAAAGCAGGGGAUCUUCGCACCUUGCGCGACUGAAUGAGCCGAUGUCGGAUUAGCUAGUUGGCGGGGUAAAGGCCCACCAAGGCGACGAUCCGUGGCUGGUCUGAGAGGAUGAUCAGCCACACUGGAACUGAGACACGGUCCAGACUCCUACGGGAGGCAGCAGUGGGGAAUAUUGGACAAUGGGCGCAAGCCUGAUCCAGCCAUACCGCGUGGGUGAAGAAGGCCUUCGGGUUGUAAAGCCCUUUUGUUGGGAAAGAAAAGCAGCAGGUUAAUACCCCGCUGUUCUGACGGUACCCAAAGAAUAAGCACCGGCUAACUUCGUG